GUCCCCGUAGCUUAACGGAUAGAGUUCUGGGCUUCGAACCCAGCGAUAGAGGUCCGAUUCCUCUCGGGGACACAA
Molecule: transfer RNA, 75 nt
Filed under: Candidatus Wildermuthbacteria bacterium RIFCSPHIGHO2_01_FULL_48_25
Lineage: Bacteria; Candidatus Wildermuthiibacteriota
Also listed under: 2 other names
Description: tRNA-Arg
Rfam family: tRNA
About the family: Transfer RNA (tRNA) molecules are approximately 80 nucleotides in length. Their secondary structure includes four short double-helical elements and three loops (D, anti-codon, and T loops).
Source: RNAcentral